This 390-nucleotide ribosomal RNA is filed under the name uncultured Synurales. RNAcentral describes it as "partial small subunit ribosomal RNA". It matches the Rfam family "Eukaryotic small subunit ribosomal RNA", at positions 30 to 428 of the family's 1831-position model. Lineage: Eukaryota; Synurophyceae; Synurales. The record is from RNAcentral.
GCUUGUCUCAAAGAUUAAGCCAUGCACGUCUAAGUAUAAGCGAUUAUACUGUGAAACUGCGAAUGGCUCAUUAUAUCAGUUAUAGUUUAUUUGAUGGUCCUUGCUACUUGGAUAACCGUAGUAAUUCUAGAGCUAAUACAUGCAUAAAUCCCCGACUGCUUGGAAGGGGUGUAUUUAUUAGAUGGAAACCAAUCGCGGGGCAACCCAGUAUCUGGUGAUUCAUAAUAACUUUCGGAUCGAUCUUCGGGUCGAUGCAUCAUUCAAGUUUCUGCCCUAUCAGCUUUGGAUGGUAGGGUAUUGGCCUACCAUGGCUUUAACGGGUAACGGAGAAUUAGGGUUCGAUUCCGGAGAGGGAGCCUGAGAAAUGGCUACCACAUCCAAGGAAGGCAG